This is a long non-coding RNA of Aedes aegypti (yellow fever mosquito), 389 nucleotides long. RefSeq lists it as uncharacterized. The transcript is spliced from 3 exons. Lineage: Eukaryota; Metazoa; Arthropoda; Insecta; Diptera; Culicidae. The record is from RefSeq and is a predicted model, not a curated record.
AAUGAACAAUAUGUGCUCAUCUAGAUUCUGAAUGAUUGAAAACGUUGUGCAAAAUCAUUGCAUAGUAAUCGAACUGGGUGACGGAGAAGAAUUGCCAACGUUAUUCGAUUCUCGUGUCCAUCACGUUCACUCCAACAACUGGAAAGCCGAGUAUUCCAUUGGAUUUUAUUGAAAAAACCCAAAACGAGAGUAAAUUGGAUUCAUUACCGAUUUAAGCUAGAUUAUGUCGGAAGCAAAAAUUUGGUCAAACGGAUCGAGUGACUCAGCAGUUUAAUGUUGGACGAAUCCAUUUGGUAAAUUCACAAAAAUACAUGUUGUGCCAAUAAAUAGUGCAUUAAUUGAAAAAUGAAAGGAAUAAGAAAUUUAAAAUACAUAAUGAAAAAAAAAAA